AUGAAUUGUCUAUUCUGGAAUAUUAGGGGGAUUACUACCCCAGGUAAGAAGACAUGUAUCAUUGACACUCUGGCUAGAACAAAUGCUAGUAUAGUUGCUUUUCAAGAGACCAAAAAAGAAUACUUAUCCCCUGCUUUUCUUAAAUCCAUUAGUGGUAGUAAAAACUUCCUUUGGCAUCACCUCCCUGCUGUGGGCACAUCUGGAGGGGUGUUGGUUGGUGUUGAUGUAGAUAUAUUUGAGGUUCUCCUUUGGAGUUCCUUGAAGUUCUCUGUCACCUGCAAUCUUAAAGUCAAAUCUAGUGGGGUUUGCUUUAGAUUCAUAGCUGUAUAUGGUUCCCCAUAUGAUCAAGGCAAAGAAGAUUUCAUUUCUGAACUUCAUAGCCUUUUUGUGGAUGAACAAAUGCCCACUCUUAUAGGAGGGGAUUUCAAUUUAGUUAGAUACCAGCAAGAUAAGAGCAAUGGUAACAUCAAUCACCACUGGGCAGGCAAAUUUAAUGCCUAG
RNAcentral lists this ribosomal RNA (501 nucleotides) under Triticum aestivum (bread wheat). Its description in RNAcentral is "partial small subunit ribosomal RNA". The record is from RNAcentral. Lineage: Eukaryota; Viridiplantae; Streptophyta; Magnoliopsida; Poales; Poaceae.